RNAcentral lists this long non-coding RNA (2180 nucleotides) under Parus major (Great Tit). Its description in RNAcentral is "lncRNA (ENSPMJG00000019983.1)". Lineage: Eukaryota; Metazoa; Chordata; Aves; Passeriformes; Paridae. The record is from RNAcentral.
CUGUAAUCUGGAUACAGAUUCCCCUCCAGACGUUCACCAACAGCAAGGAUCAACAAGAAGGUAAGGUAAAGGUUCAGCUUUUAGAAGUCAGGCUAAUAAUAUUCUUUCCUCAAUGCAAAGCUGAGCCUGUUUCACUUUCAGGCUAACUUUCAGCAUCUCUGAUUUCUAUGUGGUGCCUUGCUUCCAGUAUAAAUAAAUGAUCCCACAUUCCGUCAUGAUAACAUAUGCUCAUGCAGAGCUCAAAAUUAGAAGGAAUAUGAAGUGUUCUAUUAAUUGCAUGAAUGUUGAUUGUUAAAAUCAUGUGCUAAUUGGUAAUAUCUGUGUGCAGUAGGUUCCCGCAAUAUGUGUUAGAUUACAUUAACUGUGCUCGUGACUCAGAUAUCAGCAUUAUGCCUUUCGUAGAAGGAGCUUUUUUAGACUUUGUGUAAUUAGGUUCUAUAGAUUAUCAGUGUAGAAAAAUUAGUUGAAGGCUGUGUAAAGGGCAUGUGAAGUUAGAGGAAUGAGGAAUACAGAGCUCCAAAGAUGCAUCUGCUCCUCUUUCUCAUGGUGUGUGCUUCCUCACAUCCUCUCCAGAGUAAUUCUCACCGUGUUUGUCUUGAGCUAAUUCCCAGGGAAUCCAGCACCUCACUGCCAUGGUGAUUACAUCUGGAAGUUGCCAUAUUUUUUUGAGUGGGCUUUCUCCAUUUUCAGUCUUUUCUUUUGCCUUCCCCAGGCUUUGAUCCAAGAACCAUUCAGCUGAAGCAUCCUGACAGAGGAAGCAUCCACUCCUUGGCACUGCAGUGGGUCUCCCUUCCCUGGUGCUCAGCCCAGGCAGGAUCCUCAGGAGCUGCUCUGGCUCCAAGCAGAACCUUUGUUGUAUCUGCAAAGUGGACAAGCUGCAGCCACUUGUGGUGGGGCUGCUCUUGAUUUCCAGGAGAGCUCCCCAGAACCCUGGAGAGCCAAGCUCAUCCCUACCAACAUCAGAGGGACCAGCCUUGCCCUCUGCCUGCGUUUCUGAUUCCUCUGCUUGCUCUUUUUUUGGAAGGAGGAGGAAACCUUGCAAAGCUGAAAUGAAAUAUUAAGCCUCAUUCUUUCCAGGUUUCCAAGCAGAGUGACUCAUGAGAGCAACACUCCAAUUCCUAUUUCAUGAGCUGACUCCGUAGAAGUGAACAGAGCUGCUGGGAGCACAGGACCUGCUGCAAACAUCUUCCUACUUAUUAUUAACCAGCAACUUUAACUUUGUAGUGCUUCAGAUUUAUUCAUAUUUUCAGGCUUUCUGCUAUGCUUCUGGUUGUGAUAAAUUUUACUGACAGUAAGCAGGAAUUUAUUAUCCUUUGCUGAUGGCUGGGCAAAGCAUUCAGCAGGGAUAAGGCUGAGACGUGGAAAUAAGACUGGGCAAGGACUUCUGAUCUAGAGGUGCCUCUAUUUGCUUGUCUCCAUGUAAUCACUUUGGAAAGCCUGGAUAGUUCUAUCUUGGGAGAAGUGAGGUUUCCUGACUCCAUUCCUGCAGUGAGGAGGCACCACAACCUCAGUUCUCUGUUGAUUGAAGACUUUCCCCUACUUUGCAUUGCAAAUAUAUGUAUGACUAAUUCAAACCCACUGGUUUUUUCCUACUUUUUUUGUCUCUUCCCUUUGGCUGAAACAAUGUUUGCUUCUCCCAGGCCUUGAGACCAAUAAGUUCACUAGCACUGGACAGGUUUUCUUGGAGCUUCAGCUAAACUGAAGUUGUUGUGUUGGGUGGAAUGAAAUUUGAGAUCUCCAUAAAGUUUUUCCUAAUUUUCCAUGUAUCUCUGUUUUUUUCUACUUUUGCAUAGACUUAGCAGAUGUAUUUGAAUUCUGGAUUUAGCACCUGGCUAAAUCCUACUAACCUGCAGAAAGUUUUGCCCUGGUUUAUUCAACAAAAAAGGCCAAACCCCCCAAGCACAGCUAGAAACCACUAGAAAAACAUAAAAAGGUCUGAUUUAUGCUGGAUAUCAGAGGAAAUCAUCUUAUCCCCUCUGAUAUGCAAUCUAUGAAUGUAGAAAAUUUUGGCUGACUCAUGAGAGUCCCAGAAUGGCACUAGAUGUUGACAGAUAUAUUAAGAAGAGCUAAGCAAUUUUUGGUACCAAGGCAGAGGCAGGGGAGAUGUGUUCAUUUGUGGUUGGUGGAAUUACUGAAAGCGCUGCAAUAAAGUUUGGUAAACUUUUUACCUUCCCUAAUCA